This 253-nucleotide ribosomal RNA is filed under the name uncultured bacterium. RNAcentral describes it as "partial 16S ribosomal RNA". It matches the Rfam family "Bacterial small subunit ribosomal RNA", at positions 524 to 776 of the family's 1533-position model. The record is from RNAcentral.
UACAGAGACUGCAAGCGUUAUUCGGAUUCACUGGGCGUAAAGGGUGCGCAGGCGGUUGGGUGUGUCAGAUGUGAAAUCCCGAGGCUUAACCUCGGAACUGCGUCUGAAACUACUCGACUAGAGUACUGGAGAGGGAAACGGAAUUCACGGUGUAGCAGUGAAAUGCGCAGAUAUCGGGAGGAACACCGGUGGCGAAGGCGGUUCUCUGGGCCUGUACUGACGCUGAGGAGCGAAAGCGUGGGGAGCGAACAGG